AUGAUGGUUAAGUUGGUUUCAAAGAAAAUUCAAGAGACUGACUAGAGUCACUGAACGACCGCCUGAAUAGACCGCCUGAAGAGCCCCAGGGGUGACAGAUGGGGCCUCCGUGUUUCCCUUGACUGUCGUGGCCAGUGAUGUGGUCUGAAGGGAAGAGGAGAAGCUCCUCUGCACAUCAAGGGUGGCGGUGAUUGCAUUUGAGGUACCAUUGCCCUUAAACACAGGUCUCUUGGGGAGGAUUGUGGUGGUAGGUGUUGCCCUUUGAAACAAAAAGGGAUAUAAUUAGCUUGAAAGUGAUCAUGAAGCUCUAAAGUCAGAUUUGUGGGUAGAAAGAGAGAUUUGGGGGCAACCUGCUGUGGAGAACAAAGGACUGAUCCACAGAGAAAGCAAAGCCCACUUAAGGACUUUGGAACACACACACACAGAGCACUCUGCUCUCUCCAGUUGUUGGGAGAAUCUUCCUUCGGCUCCAGAAGCCUAGGGGCCCUUUGCCAUGGAAGCCCACUCCGUUAGGGUGGGGACUGCAGCAUCCAGGCACUGUGCGGUGGCAUUUGGGUGGAGCCCCUGCUUGACAUAGGGAGUUUCUCCAGGAAGGAUUGGGCUGAUGAAUACCAAAGAGCUCUCUGAAUCUGGAGUUUGAUUGUACGCAUUUCCAUCCUAAUUCCCCAUUGAGCAGUUGCUUGUUGGUUUAUGUACGGCCUCUUGAAGCAAAUCAUUAGUUAGAUGGUUUUAUUUUUAAGGCCAGGUCUAAAACGUGGCUGUGAAUAAAUUCUUUCUUGACUCCGGCAAAAAGAAUGACUUUGAUACUGAGCAGUGGAAAGAAAACUUACAGCCAGUUCUGCUAUAAUGCGACGUAUGCACUCCUGAAAAUUACUGCACUAUGCAAAAUCAUGCACUAAAAACCAUGAGCUUAGGUGGGAAACGGAUAGGAGCCCGGCACUCAAAAACCAUGUCAUUGGCAUAUUUAAAAAUAAGAAAGGUCCCUAAUAAGAAGGGUACUACAGUUUGGCAUAUUAAAUGUUUAAGAAAAACAAAUACUACAAUAAAUGUGGUUCUUUAUCAUGAAAGAGGCAUGCAGUUUGCUGGUGGAAGUGGGCGUGCGAAGGGUUAUAGCUUGUGAGGCUGUGGAAGGAGCAUCUGAAACCCGGGGUGGCUGGUGGCAGUGUGUGUUUUGUGUCUUUCUGCCCAACUAGAGUCACCUGAGUUGUGGUUGUGUGUUCACCAACUCUCUCCAGACAAAAUUAGGCAUAAAGAGAACAUGAAAUUUGCAGCAUGCUCAAAAUUGUUACUUGUAUAUCAGUCGUGUUGGAGCAAAAACCCUUUAGCAGCACUGACCAUAUAUUAUUGUCUUUUAUGAAGACAGCUCAGGAUAAGCAUAUAUAGCCUUAGACCCAGGGAUCCCUACACACAGGGACCUGUAUUUGAAGGAAUUGGAGCAGAGAGACUUUUAUAAUUCUUUAUAAAGGGUUCAAUCAUUUAACAUGUUAUGGAAAAAAGGGAUACUGUGUUUAAAGCCUCCCUUUUACUUCCACAUUCAUUCAGAAAGUUCUCUGCUAAUAAAUUCAGUUUGCAGAUUAUAUAAUCUCAAUAAAGCCAUAAGCUCUCUAUGGUUAAAUAGGAUUAGGGUUGGUCGGUGUGGAGGAUGUUUUGAAAUGUUAAACUUUAUAAAGGAUGGUUAAUAAUUCUAUCAACACUGUAGUGUUUGCUCUGUAACUUUAGACUAAAGAAAGUAACAGCUGGUUUUGAACUUUUCUUACGGCUCAGACCCAUACUGCCUUGACAACAUAUUAAUUUACCAGCUUUUGAUUAAACAACCCUACGCUAAAGUACACUUCGAAAAAUACCAAUAAA
Long non-coding RNA from Canis lupus familiaris (dog), 1851 nucleotides. RefSeq lists it as uncharacterized. The record is from RefSeq and is a predicted model, not a curated record. Lineage: Eukaryota; Metazoa; Chordata; Mammalia; Carnivora; Canidae. The transcript is spliced from 2 exons.